Molecule: ribosomal RNA, 254 nt
Filed under: uncultured bacterium
Lineage: Bacteria
Description: partial 16S ribosomal RNA
Rfam family: Bacterial small subunit ribosomal RNA
Source: RNAcentral
UACGGGGGGGGCAAGCGUUGUUCGGAAUUACUGGGCGUAAAGGGCUCGCAGGCGGCCAACUAAGUCAGACGUGAAAUCCCUCGGCUUAACCGGGGAACUGCGUCUGAUACUGGAUGGCUUGAGAUUGGGAGAGGGAUGCGGAAUUCCAGGUGUAGCGGUGAAAUGCGUAGAUAUCUGGAGGAACACCGGUGGCGAAGGCGGCAUCCUGGACCAACACUGACGCUGAGUGAGCGAAAGCCAGGGGAGCAAACGGG